AGUGAACGCUGGCGGUAGGCCUAACACAUGCAAGUCGAACGGCAGCACAGUAAGAGCUUGCUCUUACGGGUGGCGAGUGGCGGACGGGUGAGGAAUACAUCGGAAUCUACUUUUUCGUGGGGGAUAACGUAGGGGAACUUACGCUAAUACCUCAUACGACCUACGGGUGAAAGCAGGGGAUCUUCGGACCUUGCGCGAUUGAAUGAGCCGAUGUCGGAUUAGCUAGUUGGCGGGGUAAAGGCCCACCAAGGCGACGAUCCGUAGCUGGUCUGAGAGGAUGAUCAGCCACACUGGAACUGAGACACGGUCCAGACUCCUACGGGAGGCAGCAGUGGGGAAUAUUGGACAAUGGGCGCAAGCCUGAUCCAGCCAUACCGCGUGGGUGAAGAAGGCCUUCGGGUUGUAAAGCCCUUUUGUUGGGAAAGAAAAGCAGCAGGUUAAUACCCCGCUGUUCUGACGGUACCCAAAGAAUAAGCACCGGCUAACUUCGUG
This 492-nucleotide ribosomal RNA is filed under the name uncultured bacterium. RNAcentral describes it as "partial 16S ribosomal RNA". It matches the Rfam family "Bacterial small subunit ribosomal RNA", at positions 29 to 507 of the family's 1533-position model. The record is from RNAcentral.